Pieris rapae (cabbage white) is the source of this 537-nucleotide long non-coding RNA. RefSeq lists it as uncharacterized. The transcript has 4 exons. Lineage: Eukaryota; Metazoa; Arthropoda; Insecta; Lepidoptera; Pieridae. The record is from RefSeq and is a predicted model, not a curated record.
AUCUGUCAAAAGAAAAUUCAUCGUACAUACACAAAAUAAAUUCCUAAUGGGCUUUCAAGCAAAUUAAUACAAACAGGAAGAUGAACGGGCUGGUGAUUAAGAUCUGGCAGACAUCAGUGUUUGUUCUACUCGUGUUUGCUGCUUUCAUGUCAAUUAGAGCCCUUUGGAGAGCUACCAGAACCGCCAGGAUCCCUUGUCACGAUAGCUGCUAGAAUCGUGAACAGUCUUGUUCUGCUAGGUGCAUAGUUUAUACGAAUGGAAGCGUGCACUAAGGUGACAAAGCUAAGAAACGAAAUGGAAUAUAAAAGCGUUAUGUUGGGUGGCCUUAUUUACAUUCUGUUAGUUGGAAUAUUGAUAAUAAUAAAUGAAGCAUUCUGCAAAUCUAUUUGCUUGAAAAACGCUCAGCGAGCUGCCAAUCAAGCAAUGCCAGACAUAGAUUUAAAUGAACGGAAGCCUUCAAAAUCCAGACCGAUGUAAAAUAUAGUGUUGAAAGACAUACUAGAUGGCGCUGUACUAAAUAGUGAAAUAAAACGGCAA